Molecule: non-coding RNA, 514 nt
Organism: Cyprinus carpio (common carp)
Lineage: Eukaryota; Metazoa; Chordata; Actinopteri; Cypriniformes; Cyprinidae
Source: the annotation of a RefSeq genome assembly
UUCUCUAAUGCCAGCUCUCAAGAUGUUUGCUCUGCUUGCAUAUAUUCUUAUGUCUUGCAUAUCAUGUGUAUCUAUGAUCCCCAGUGUUUUUCAGCCAAAUGUCUCAAUCACAGCAUCAGUGGGUGGUUCGGUCAUCCUGGAAUGCCACACAACUGCUGAUCUGGUUGUGGCCUGGUUUUGGCUAAAACAAAUCCCAGGACAAAAGUUGAACCCUAUAGUUUCUACAUAUUACCAGGAGAUAAAACUUCAAGAGGAAUUUCUCAAUGAAUCAAGACUUCAAUUCAAAGUUGACGACAAGAAAUCUGCAUUAAUAUUCACCAAGAUUAACUCCAGAGAUGCCGCCUAUUAUCAUUGUGGUGUGCUACUGUAUGAGAAGCUGUACUUUGGAGGGGGAACUUAUCUGACAGUUAAUGGUGAGUGGAAACUUAGAAUGUAAGAUCUUUGAUAGUUUAUUUUGAUUAAAAGGCUGGUUUUAUUAUUACUGCUACUGUAAUGUAUAUUAUUUUUCAUUACA